CACCGCUAUUGGGAUACGCUUAAGCCAUGCGAGUCGAGAGUCUUCGGGACUCGGCUAACUGCUCAGUAACACGUGGACAAUCUACCCUUAGGUGGAAGAUAAUCUCGGGAAACUGAGAAUAAGAUUCCAUAGGUCUAGAAUGCUGGAAUGCUUUUAGACUGAAAGGCGACGCCUAAGGAUGAGUCUGUGGCCUAUCAGGUUGUAGUGAGUGUAACGUACUCACUAGCCUACGACGGGUACGGGCCUUGAGAGAGGUUGCCCGGAGAUGGGUUCUGAGACAUGAAUCCAGGCCCUACGGGGCGCAGCAGGCGCGAAAACUCCACAAUGCUGGCAACAGCGAUGGGGGAAUCCCAAGUGCCUAUGCUUUUGUGUAGGCUGUUCUCUUGUUUAAAAAACAAGAGGAGUAAGGGCUGGGUAAGACGGGUGCCAGCCGCCGCGGUAAUACCCGCAGCCCAAGUGGUGGUCGCUAUUAUUUGGCCUAAAACGUCCGUAGCCGGUCUGGUAAAUUCUUGGGUAAAUCGAAUAGCUCAACUAUUCGAAUUCCGGGAAGACUGCUAGACUUGGGACUGGGAGAGGUUAGAAGUACUUUCAGGGUAGGGGUGAAAUCCUGUAAUCCUGGAAGGACUACCAGUGGCGGAGGCGUCUAACUAGAACAGAUCCGACGGUAAGGGACGAAACCCUGGGUCGCAAACGGGAUUAGAUACCCCGGUAGUCCAGGGCAUAAACGCUGUAGGCUUGGUGUUGAGGAUCCUACGAGGAUGCUCAGUGCCGGAGAGAAGUUGUUAAGCCUACUGCCUGGGGAGUACGGUCGCAAGACUGAAAUUCGCAGGAGCGUGUUCCUGCGAACAGCAGACUUAAAGGAAUUGGCGGGGGAGCACCGCAACGGGUGGAGCGUGCGGUUUAAUUGGAUUCAACGCCGGAAAGCUCACCGGGGGCGACGGUUAGAUGAAGGCCAAGCUAAUGACUUUGCCAGAUUUUCCGAGAGGUGGUGCAUGGCCGUCGUCAGUUCGUACCGUAAGGCGUUCUGUUAAGUCAGAUAACGAACGAGACCCCCACCUUUAAUUGCGAUUGGUUUCUCCGGAAGCCAAGCACAUUAAAGGGACCGCUGGCGCUAAGUCAGAGGAAGGAGGGGGCUACGGUAGGUCAGUAUGCCCUGAAUCCCCCGGGCUACACGCGCGCUACAAGGGCCGAGACAAUGGGCUACGAUACCGAGAGGUAAAAUUAAUCCCGAAACUCGGUCAUAGUUCGAAUUGAGGACUGCAACUCGUCCUCAUGAAGCUGGAAUCCGUAGUAAUCGCGGGUCAAAAUCCCGCGGUGAAUAUGCCCCUGCUCCUUGCACACACCGCCCGUCAAACCAUCCGAGUUAGGUUUGAGUGAGGCUACAGUUUUUGCUGUGUUCGAACUCAUGCUUGGCAAGGAGGGUU
This 1424-nucleotide ribosomal RNA is filed under the name uncultured archaeon. Its description in RNAcentral is "16S ribosomal RNA". It matches the Rfam family "Archaeal small subunit ribosomal RNA". The record is from RNAcentral.